GAUGAACGCUGGCGGCGUGCUUAACACAUGCAAGUCGAACGAUGAAGCUCAGCUUGCUGGGUGGAUUAGUUGCGAACGGGUGAGUAACACGUGAGUAACCUGCCCUUAACUCUGGGAUAAGCCUGGGAAACUAGGUCUAAUACCGGAUAGGAGCUCCUACCGCAUGGAUGGUGCUGGAAAAAUUUAUCGGUUUUGGAUGGACUCGCGGCCUAUCCGCUUGUUGGUGAGGUAAUGGCUCACGAAGGCGACGACGGGUAGCCGGCCUGAGAGGGUGACCGGCCACACUGGGACUGAGACACGGCCCAGACUCCUACGGGAGGCAGCAGUGGGGAAUAUUGCACAAUGGGCGAAAGCCUGAUGCAGCGACGCCGCGUGAGGGAUGACGGCCUUCGGGUUGUAAACAUCUUUCAGUAGGGAAGAAGCGAAAGUGACGGUACCUGCAGAAGAAGCACCGGCUAACUACGUG
RNAcentral lists this ribosomal RNA (466 nucleotides) under uncultured bacterium. RNAcentral's name for it is "partial 16S ribosomal RNA". It matches the Rfam family "Bacterial small subunit ribosomal RNA", at positions 28 to 507 of the family's 1533-position model. The record is from RNAcentral.